Molecule: ribosomal RNA, 459 nt
Filed under: uncultured bacterium
Lineage: Bacteria
Description: SSU rRNA
Rfam family: Bacterial small subunit ribosomal RNA
Source: RNAcentral
AGAAUCAACGCUGGCGGCGUGCCUAACACAUGCAAGUCGAACGAGAAAGUGGAGCAAUCCAUGAGUACAGUGGCGACCGGGUGAGUAACACGUGACUACCUACCCUUGAGUGGGGGAUAACCUCGGGAAACCGAGGCUAAUACCGCAUAAUAUCGAGAGAUCAAAGGAGUAAUCCGCUUUUGGAGGGGGUCGCGGCUGAUUAGCUAGUUGGUAGGGUAAUGGCCUACAAAGGCGAAGAUCGGUAUCCGGCCUGAGAGGGCGCACGGACACACUGGAACUGAAACACGGUCCAGACUCCUACGGAAGGCAGCAGUGGGGAAUUUUGCGCAAUGGGGGAAACCCUGACGCAGCAACGCCGCGUGGAGGAUGAAGCCCCUUGGGGUGUAAACUCCUUUCGACCGGGAAAAUAAUGAUGGUACCGGUGGAAGAAGCACCGGCUAACUCUGCGCCAGCAGCCGC